UACGUAGGGACCAAGCGUUGUCCGGAAUCAUUGGGCGUAAAGGGCGUGUAGGCGGCUUGUUAAGUCUUGCGUGAAAUCUCGGGGCUCAACCCCGAGCGGUCGUGAGAAACUGGCAGGCUAGAGUGCGGGAGAGGAGAGUGGAAUUCCUGGUGUAGCGGUGAAAUGCGCAGAUAUCAGGAAGAACACCCGUGGCGAAGGCGGCUCUCUGGAACGCAACUGACGCUGAGACGCGAAAGCGUGGGGAGCAAACAGG
Molecule: ribosomal RNA, 253 nt
Filed under: uncultured bacterium
Lineage: Bacteria
Description: partial 16S ribosomal RNA
Rfam family: Bacterial small subunit ribosomal RNA
Source: RNAcentral